Molecule: ribosomal RNA, 253 nt
Filed under: uncultured bacterium
Lineage: Bacteria
Description: partial 16S ribosomal RNA
Rfam family: Bacterial small subunit ribosomal RNA
Source: RNAcentral
UACGUAGGGGGCGAGCGUUAUCCGGAAUUACUGGGCGUAAAGCGCACGCAGGCGGUCUUUUAAGUUUGACGUGAAAGCUCCCGGCUUAACUGGGAGAGGUCGUUGAAGACUGGAAGACUUGAGGCAAUGAGAGGGGUGUAGAAUUCCCGGUGUAGUGGUGGAAUGCGUAGAUAUCGGGGGGAAUACCAGUGGCGAAAGCGGCACCCUAGCGUUAGCCUGACGCUCAUGUGCGAAAGCGUGGGGAGCGAACGGG